AUGAACAAUUCUGCUGCUGCUAACCCCGGGGCCUGUUUCCAAUCCACAGAAAAACAAAUCCCUAAUCACUUCUCCUACUCCCGCUACCUCACUGAAGCUCCAUACAGUGAGGGGCAUAGGUCUGAGGGUAACACUGUAAGAUAAUGGGUCUGUUUUGUACAGGAAGCUGAUGGUAAAUUAACACCAGCCAUUAAUCACAGCCAGCAUCUACCCAAACAAAAACACCAGCUACAGGACGUCAGCAUCCUGCAGUCCUGUCAUCCUUCUUAAAAGCUCUGUGACAAGAAAUGGAGUUUGUGUCUGAUGGAUGGAGACCGAUUAGAGCCCAGAAGGACUACAAGAGGGAUGGCAAGCUGGCUAUGUGUCUUGUAAACAGUAAUGAAAGCUUCAGUGGAAGAUCUAGUAGAAGACUAAUGCUACUUCAUCUUUACUUCCAUCUAUGUCUUUAAAAUCCCUCUAUGUUUACACAUCUGCUUUGCUGCUUUCAGAUGAUGGAGUUUGGCCCCUUUCCCUGUAUUCUCCCU
This is a long non-coding RNA of Astyanax mexicanus (Mexican tetra), 524 nucleotides long. RefSeq lists it as uncharacterized. The record is from RefSeq and is a predicted model, not a curated record. NCBI's taxonomy places the organism in Eukaryota, Metazoa, Chordata, Actinopteri, Characiformes, Acestrorhamphidae. The transcript has 3 exons.